Molecule: ribosomal RNA, 503 nt
Filed under: uncultured euryarchaeote
Lineage: Archaea; Methanobacteriati; Methanobacteriota
Description: bacterial SSU rRNA
Rfam family: Archaeal small subunit ribosomal RNA
Source: RNAcentral
ACACUUUACAAUGCGGGAAACCGCGAUAAGGGAACCCCGAGUGCCAGCAUCAAAUGUUGGCUGUCCAGAUGAUUAAAAAUCAUUUGUUAGCAAGGGCCGGGCAAGACCGGUGCCAGCCGCCGCGGUAACACCGGCGGCCCGAGUGGUAGCCGUUUUUAUUGGGUCUAAAGGGUCCGUAGCCGGCCUGAUAAGUCCUUUGGGAAAUCUGGCAGCUUAACUGUCAGGCUUCUAAGGGAUACUGUCAGGCUUGGGACCGGAAGAGGUAAGGGGUACUCCAGGGGUAGGAGUGAAAUCUUGUAAUCCCCUGGGGGACCAUCUGUGGCGAAGGCGCCUUACCAGAACGGGUCCGACGGUGAGGGACGAAAGCUAGGGGAGCAAACCGGAUUAGAUACCCGGGUAGUCCUAGCUGUAAACGAUGCUCGCUAGGUGUCAGACACGGUGCGACCGUGUUUGGUGCCGCAGGGAAGCCGUUAAGCGAGCCACCUGGAAGUACGUCGCAAGGC